GAUGUUUAUGCACCAGUUUCACCGCGGGAUUCUGGAGGUCUUUCUCCCUCGCGUGAAUGGUCUCUGUCCCCUCCCACAUUUCUCCCGAAAGCUUUUAUUUGGCUGCUCCUACAGGGGACACCCUUGAUCUGUGCUCUCCCACCGAUUCUCUCCUCCAGAGUCCCAGCCGGUUCACCUCCACAAAUGCGUCUCCCAUCAUUUCCCGAGUGCUCCCCUCUCACUGCGACGGUGCAUCUGCCUGCCUUUCUUGCUUCAUUACGGCCGGCUUCAGCUCAUCGUUCACAGAGCAGCCAAAAGGGCUUUAUUCAAAUGCCCAUCUGACCAUGCCCCCUUCCUAUUUAAGGAUCCCACUGUACUUGCAACAAAAUAAAAACUCCUCAGCAGGUGUCUGGCCCCUUUUCCUCCUGCACCAUCUCCAGCCACCUCUGCUCAUUCAAUUUCAGCCACACUCCCCUUCCCUCUCUUCACGAAGGAGCCCAAGCGUGUCCCGCCUUUGGGGCUUUGCCUUCCCUUCCCUCUAGGCCUCCACUGCUUGUCCCCAAGACAGGAGUUUGCCAGUUACUGUUCAGCAAAAAUGUCCUGUCCUCAAAGACACCCUCCCUCCCCGGGUUACGACAGCCAUCCAGGUCCCUCUGUCCUGUUCCUGGAUUUGCUGAGCAGUAUCUUAACC
Molecule: long non-coding RNA, 670 nt
Filed under: Sus scrofa (pig)
Lineage: Eukaryota; Metazoa; Chordata; Mammalia; Artiodactyla; Suidae
Description: lncRNA (ENSSSCG00015068093.1)
Source: RNAcentral